This 465-nucleotide ribosomal RNA is filed under the name uncultured bacterium. RNAcentral's name for it is "partial 16S ribosomal RNA". It matches the Rfam family "Bacterial small subunit ribosomal RNA", at positions 28 to 507 of the family's 1533-position model. The record is from RNAcentral.
GACGAACGCUGGCGGCGUGCUUAACACAUGCAAGUCGAACGGAAAGGCCCCUUUGGGGGUCCUCGAGUGGCGAACGGGUGAGUAACACGUGAGUAACCUGCCCUUGACUUCGGGAUAACUUCAGGAAACUGGGGCUAAUACCGGAUAGGAAUCCUUGCUGCAUGGUGGGGGUUGGAAAGCUUCGGCGGUUUUGGAUGGACUCGCGGCUUAUCAGCUUGUUGGUGGGGUAGUGGCUUACCAAGGCUUUGACGGGUAGCCGGCCUGAGAGGGCGACCGGCCACAUUGGGACUGAGAUACGGCCCAGACUCCUACGGGAGGCAGCAGUGGGGAAUAUUGCACAAGGGGCGGAAGCCUGAUGCAGCAACGCCGCGUGCGGGAUGACGGCCUUCGGGUUGUAAACCGCUUUCAGCAGGGGCGAAGCUUGUGGUGACGGUAUCUGCAGAAGAAGCACCGGCUAACUACGUG